CCUACGGGUGGCUGCAGUGGGGAAUAUUGCACAAUGGGGGCAACCCUGAUGCAGCAACGCCGCGUGAGUGAGGAAGUCUUUCGGUAUGUAAAGCUCUAUUCGCAGGGAAUAGAAAAGAAGCUACAUGAAAAAGAAGCCCCGCCUAACUACGUGCGAGCAGCCGCGGUCAUACGUCGGGGGCAAGCGUUAUCCUGAUUUACUGGGUGUAAAGGGAGCGUAGACGGGAAGGCAAGUCAGAAGUGAAAACCCAAGGCUCAACCAUGGGACUGCUUUUGAAACUGUCGAACUAGAGUACGGGAGAGGCAAGAGGAAUUCCUAGUGUAGCGGUGAAAUGCGUAGAUAUUAGGAGGAACACCAGUGGCGAAGGCGUCUUACUGGACCGCAACUGACGUUGAGGCGCGAAAGCGUGGGGAGCAAACAGGAUUAGAUACCCCAGUAGUC
Molecule: ribosomal RNA, 441 nt
Filed under: uncultured bacterium
Lineage: Bacteria
Description: partial 16S ribosomal RNA
Rfam family: Bacterial small subunit ribosomal RNA
Source: RNAcentral